UGGGGAAUAUUGGACAAUGGGGGAACCCUGAUCCAGCCAUGCCGCGUGUGUGAAGAAGGCCUUUUGGUUGUAAAGCACUUUAAGCGAGGAGGAGGCUACCGAGAUUAAUACUCUUGGAUAGUGGACGUUACUCGCAGAAUAAGCACCGGCUAACUCUGUGCCAGCAGCCGCGGUAAUACAGAGGGUGCAAGCGUUAAUCGGAUUUACUGGGCGUAAAGCGCGCGUAGGUGGCCAAUUAAGUCAAAUGUGAAAUCCCCGAGCUUAACUUGGGAAUUGCAUUCGAUACUGGUUGGCUAGAGUAUGGGAGAGGAUGGUAGAAUUCCAGGUGUAGCGGUGAAAUGCGUAUAGAUCUGGAGGAAUACCGAUGGCGAAGGCAGCCAUCUGGCCUAAUACUGACACUGAGGUGCGAAAGCAUGGGGAGCAAACAGGAUUAGAUACCCUGGUAGUCCAUGCCGUACACGAUGUC
RNAcentral lists this ribosomal RNA (466 nucleotides) under uncultured Acinetobacter sp. RNAcentral describes it as "bacterial SSU rRNA". It matches the Rfam family "Bacterial small subunit ribosomal RNA", at positions 355 to 813 of the family's 1533-position model. Lineage: Bacteria; Pseudomonadati; Pseudomonadota; Gammaproteobacteria; Moraxellales; Moraxellaceae. The record is from RNAcentral.